CCUACGGGUGAGCAGCAGUGGGGAAUAUUGGGCAAUGGGCGCAAGCCUGACCCAGCAACGCCGCGUGAAGGUAGAAGGCUUUCGGGUUGUAAACUUCUUUUGUCAGGGAAGAGUAGAAGACGGUACCUUACGAAUAAGCCACGGCUAACUAGGUGCCAGCAGCCGCGGUAAUACGUAGGUGGCAAGCGUUGUCCGGAUUUACUGGGUGUAAAGGGCGUGUAGCCGGGUUGACAAGUCAGAUGUGAAAGCCUGUGGCUUAACCGCAGAACUGCAUUUGAAACUGUUGAACUUGAGUACUGUAGAGGCAGACGGAAUUCCUGGUGUAGCGGUGAAAUGCGUAGAUAUUAGGAAGAACACCAGUGGCGAAGGCAGUCUACUGGACAGCAACUGACGGUGAGGCACGAAAGCGUGGGGAGCAAACAGGAUUAGAUACCCUUGUAGUC
RNAcentral lists this ribosomal RNA (443 nucleotides) under uncultured bacterium. RNAcentral describes it as "partial 16S ribosomal RNA". It matches the Rfam family "Bacterial small subunit ribosomal RNA", at positions 338 to 795 of the family's 1533-position model. The record is from RNAcentral.